AUGCAAGUCGAACGAGAGAGAAGGAGCUUGCUUCUUCGAUCGAGUGGCGAACGGGUGAGUAACGCGUGAGGAACCUGCCUCAAAGAGGGGGACAACAGUUGGAAACGACUGCUAAUACCGCAUAAGCCCACGGGUCGGCAUCGACCUGAGGGAAAAGGAGCAAUCCGCUUUGAGAUGGCCUCGCGUCCGAUUAGCUAGUUGGUGAGGUAACGGCCCACCAAGGCGACGAUCGGUAGCCGGACUGAGAGGUUGAACGGCCACAUUGGGACUGAGACACGGCCCAGACUCCUACGGGAGGCAGCAGUGGGGAAUAUCGCACAAUGGGGGAAACCCUGAUGCAGCGACGCCGCGUGGAGGAAGAAGGUCUUCGGAUUGUAAACUCCUGUUGUUGAGGAAGAUAAUGACGGUACUCAACAAGGAAGUGACGGCUAACUACGUGCCAGCAGCCGCGGUAAAACGUAGGUCACAAGCGUUGUCCGGAAUUACUGGGUGUAAAGGGAGCGCAGGCGGGAAGACAAGUUGGAAGUGAAAUCUAUGGGCUCAACCCAUAAACUGCUUUCAAAACUGUUUUUCUUGAGUAGUGCAGAGGUAGGCGGAAUUCCCGGUGUAGCGGUGGAAUGCGUAGAUAUCGGGAGGAACACCAGUGGCGAAGGCGGCCUACUGGGCACC
RNAcentral lists this ribosomal RNA (669 nucleotides) under uncultured Lachnospiraceae bacterium. RNAcentral's name for it is "bacterial SSU rRNA". It matches the Rfam family "Bacterial small subunit ribosomal RNA", at positions 55 to 737 of the family's 1533-position model. Lineage: Bacteria; Bacillati; Bacillota; Clostridia; Lachnospirales; Lachnospiraceae. The record is from RNAcentral.